RNAcentral lists this ribosomal RNA (252 nucleotides) under uncultured prokaryote. RNAcentral describes it as "partial 16S ribosomal RNA". It matches the Rfam family "Bacterial small subunit ribosomal RNA", at positions 524 to 774 of the family's 1533-position model. The record is from RNAcentral.
UACGUAGGGGGCGAGCGUUGUCCGGAUUUAUUGGGCGUAAAGAGCUCGUAGGCGGUUUGGUAAGUCGGGUGUGAAAUCUCCAGGCUCAACUUGGAGAGGUCAUUCGAUACUGCCAUGACUCGAGUCCGGUAGGGGAGUGUGGAAUACCUGGUGGAGCGGUGAAAUGCGCAGAUAUCAGGUGGAACACCCGUAGCGAAGGCGGCACUCUGGGCCGGAACUGACGCUGAGGAGCGAAAGCGUGGGGAGCGAACA